RNAcentral lists this ribosomal RNA (451 nucleotides) under uncultured bacterium. RNAcentral describes it as "partial 16S ribosomal RNA". It matches the Rfam family "Bacterial small subunit ribosomal RNA", at positions 354 to 796 of the family's 1533-position model. The record is from RNAcentral.
GUGGGGAAUAUUGGACAAUGGGGGGAACCCUGAUCCAGCCAUGCCGCGUGUGUGAAGAAGGCCUUUUGGUUGUAAAGCACUUUAAGCGAGGAGGAGGCUUACCUGGUUAAUACCUAGGAUAAGUGGACGUUACUCGCAGAAUAAGCACCGGCUAACUCUGUGCCAGCAGCCGCGGUAAUACAGAGGGUGCGAGCGUUAAUCGGAUUUACUGGGCGUAAAGCGCGCGUAGGUGGUUAAUUAAGUCAAAUGUGAAAUCCCCGAGCUUAACUUGGGAAUUGCAUUCGAUACUGGUUAGCUAGAGUAUGGGAGAGGAUGGUAGAAUUCCAGGUGUAGCGGUGAAAUGCGUAGAGAUCUGGAGGAAUACCGAUGGCGAAGGCAGCCAUCUGGCCUAAUACUGACACUGAGGUGCGAAAGCAUGGGGAGCAAACAGGAUUAGAAACCCCGGUAGUCC